GACGAAUGCUGGCGGCAUGCUUAACACAUGCAAGUCGAACGGAAAGGCCCUGCUUUUGUGGGGUGCUCGAGUGGCGAACGGGUGAGUAACACGUGAGUAACCUGCCCUUGACUUUGGGAUAACUUCAGGAAACUGGGGCUAAUACCGGAUAGGAGCUCCUGCUGCAUGGUGGGGGUUGGAAAGUUUCGGCGGUUGGGGAUGGACUCGCGGCUUAUCAGCUUGUUGGUGGGGUAGUGGCUUACCAAGGGUUUGACGGGUAGCCGGCCUGAGAGGGUGACCGGCCACAUUGGGACUGAGAUACGGCCCAGACUCCUACGGGAGGCAGCGGUGGGGAAUAUUGCACAAUGGGCGGAAGCCUGAUGCAGCAACGCCGCGUGCGGGAUGACGGCCUUCGGGUUGUAAACCGCUUUCGCCUGUGACGCAGCGUGAGUGACGGUAAUGGGUAAAGAAGCACCGGCUAACUACGUG
This 468-nucleotide ribosomal RNA is filed under the name uncultured bacterium. Its description in RNAcentral is "partial 16S ribosomal RNA". It matches the Rfam family "Bacterial small subunit ribosomal RNA", at positions 28 to 507 of the family's 1533-position model. The record is from RNAcentral.